RNAcentral lists this ribosomal RNA (455 nucleotides) under uncultured bacterium. RNAcentral's name for it is "partial 16S ribosomal RNA". It matches the Rfam family "Bacterial small subunit ribosomal RNA", at positions 28 to 507 of the family's 1533-position model. The record is from RNAcentral.
GAUGAACGCUGACAGAAUGCUUAACACAUGCCAGUCAACUUGAACUUCGGUUUGGGUGGCGGACGGGUGAGUAACGCGUAAAGAACUUGCCUCACAGAUAGGGACAACAUUUGGAAACGAAUGCUAAUACCUGAUAUUAUGAUUUUAGGGCAUCCUAGGAUUAUGAAAGCUAUAUGCGCUGUGAGAGAGCUUUGCGUCCCAUUAGCUAGUUGGAGAGGUAACGGCUCACCAAGGCGAUGAUGGGUAGCCGGCCUGAGAGGGUGAUCGGCCACAAGGGGACGUAAGACACGCCUCUUCCCCCACGGGGAGGCAGCGGGGGGGAAUUUGGGAAGAGGGACAAAGAGUCUGACCCAGCAUUUUUGUGUGCACAAAAAAUUUUUUGGGAAUGAAAAGUGUUUUCAGUUGAAAAAAAAAAAAUGACGGUACCAAAAGAAAAAGUGACGGCAAAAUCCGUG